CGUCACACUCCUCUGUAAUUAUCUUCCUCUUUACUAUACCUGCAUUCUUAGAAGCAGGAAUUUAUGCGUAAUUUACAUGUAUCUAUGUAGAUAGAAAGGGAAAAAGAGAGGGUUGGUUGCGAUGAUUAGAAAAGAAAUUCCUCGUUCUGAAUGCUAUAGCCAUGGCAUGACAGACUCCUUUACACCCAUAGAAUAUGAGCACCGCCC
Molecule: unclassified non-coding RNA, 207 nt
Filed under: Hevea brasiliensis (rubber tree)
Lineage: Eukaryota; Viridiplantae; Streptophyta; Magnoliopsida; Malpighiales; Euphorbiaceae
Rfam family: Small nucleolar RNA snoR8a (bases 113-203)
Source: RNAcentral